UUAUCAAAUUAUAUUGCACACAUAAUCAUGGCUUUGAAUUCCCCCUAGCUAAGGGGGGUUUAGUUCCUCAUACUUACAAAGCAAAGAUAAACAAAUUUAGACAUUGAAAACAAAAGAAAGAAAACACCUAAAAACGCUCCAACAAUCCAAUUUGAAUGGCAAGCACGUCCAAGGGUCCUCCUUCUUCUCUUUGUUGCGGCACAAGGUGUGGUUUGAUGGAUGAGUGGUAAAAUAUGGUGGUGGAUGGAUAUGCACAGCUAAGAGAUGAAAGUGUAUGGAUUGGUGAGAUGUAGUAUGGCUAGAUGAAUGGAUGGAGGUCACAGCAAGGAAAUUGUGUUUGUGAAUGAAGUUGUGAGAUGUGAAAUGUAGUGUCUUUGGAUGAUGGCCCCUUGAAUGUGUCUUUGGAUGGAUAUAUUUAUAGGCUAGGGAGAGGAUGUAGUGGGUGGUGGUAAUGAGUGGAUGUAGUGGUAGGUGAAUGUGUUGGGUGGUUGAAAUGAGUGGAUGUGUUAGGUGAAAUGAGUGGAUGUAGUGGUAGGUGAAUGGAUGUGUGGUUGUAAUGAGUGGAUGUGUUGGGUGAAAUGAGUGGAUGUAGUGGUAGGUGAAUGUGUUGGGUGGUUGUAAUGAGUGGAUGUGUUGGGUGAAAUGAGUGGAUGUGUUAGGUGAAAUGAGUGGAUGUAGUGGUAGGUGAAUGGAUGAUUUGGGUGAAAUGAGUGGAUGUAGUGGUUGGUGAAUGUGUUGGGUGGUUAUAAUGAGUGGAUGUGUUGGGUGAAAUGAGUGUCCUAAAAUGGUUAUUUAUAGGGAGAGGAUGAUGCACAAACUUCAAAUUUCAUCCAUUCCUUUUGCUCCAAGCAUAUGUUAUCCAUUUCAUGCCAAAAAAUGCUCCAAAAUGCACUUCUUUGCCACAUUAAUCCUUUGGACCUGCAAACACACGAAAAUAGCUUAAAAUACUAAAAUAACUACGAACUAACAA
RNAcentral lists this long non-coding RNA (970 nucleotides) under Malus domestica (apple). RNAcentral describes it as "long non-coding RNA (MDOM_LNC017571)". Lineage: Eukaryota; Viridiplantae; Streptophyta; Magnoliopsida; Rosales; Rosaceae. The record is from RNAcentral.